AGCUUUGCGCAGUGGCAGUAUCUUAGCCAAUGAGGUUUAUCCGCGAUUAUUGCUAACUGAAAACUUUUCCUAAUACCCCGCUGUGAUGACUUCAAAUAUAGUCGGCAUUGGCAAUUUUUGACAGUCUCUACAGAGG
Erinaceus europaeus (western European hedgehog) is the source of this 136-nucleotide small nuclear RNA. Its record names the gene U4. It matches the Rfam family "U4 spliceosomal RNA". Rfam says of the family: U4 small nuclear RNA (U4 snRNA) is a component of the major U2-dependent spliceosome. The structure of U4 snRNA from yeast and human has been reported. U4 snRNA presents a k-turn RNA motif in the 5p-SL related to recognition of Snu13 protein. The record is from Ensembl. Lineage: Eukaryota; Metazoa; Chordata; Mammalia; Eulipotyphla; Erinaceidae.